GAUGAAUAACGCAGCGAAAUGCGAUAAGUAGUGUGAAUUGCAGAAUUCAGUGAAUCAUCGAAUCUUUGAACGCACAUUGCGCCCCUUGGUAUUCCAUGGGGCAUGCCUGUUCGAGCGUCAUUUGUACCUUCAAGCUUUGCUUGGUGUUGGGUGUUUGUCUCGCCUUUGCGUGUAGACUCGCCUUAAAAUAAUUGGCAGCCGGCGUAUUGAUUUCGGAGCGCAGUACAUCUCGCGCUUUGCACUCAUAACGACAGCGUCCAAAAGUACAUUUUACACUCUUGACCUCGGAUCAGGUAGGGAUACCCGCUGAACUUAAGCAUAUCAAUAAGCGGAGGA
RNAcentral lists this unclassified non-coding RNA (336 nucleotides) under soil metagenome. RNAcentral's name for it is "partial contains 5.8S ribosomal RNA, internal transcribed spacer 2, and large subunit ribosomal RNA". The stretch from base 1 to 120 matches the Rfam family "5.8S ribosomal RNA", at positions 35 to 154 of the family's 154-position model. The record is from RNAcentral.